UGGGGAAUAUUGCACAAUGGGGGAAACCCUGAUGCAGCGACGCCGCGUGAGCGAAGAAGGUUUUCGAAUCGUAAAGCUCUGUCCUAUGAGAAGAUAAUGACGGUAUCAUAGGAGGAAGCCCCGGCUUAAUACGUGCCAGCAGCCGCGGUAAUACGUAUGGGGCGAGCGUUGUCCGGAAUUAUUGGGCGUAAAGCGGGCGCAGGCGGUUAGAAAAGUCUGAAGUGAAAGGCAGUGGCUCAACCAUUGUAGGCUUUGGAAACUGUUUAACUUGAGUGCAGAAGGGGGGAGUGGAAUUCCAUGUGUAGCGGUGAAAUGCGUGGAGAUAUGGAGGAACACAGGUGGCGAAAGCGGCUCUCUGGUCUGUAACUGACGCUGAGGGUCGAAAGCGUGGGGAGCGAACAGG
This 403-nucleotide ribosomal RNA is filed under the name Verrucomicrobiota bacterium. Its description in RNAcentral is "Verrucomicrobia bacterium partial 16S ribosomal RNA". It matches the Rfam family "Bacterial small subunit ribosomal RNA", at positions 355 to 776 of the family's 1533-position model. The record is from RNAcentral. Lineage: Bacteria; Pseudomonadati; Verrucomicrobiota.